This 548-nucleotide ribosomal RNA is filed under the name uncultured Glomeromycotina. RNAcentral describes it as "SSU rRNA". It matches the Rfam family "Eukaryotic small subunit ribosomal RNA", at positions 548 to 1098 of the family's 1831-position model. The record is from RNAcentral. Lineage: Eukaryota; Fungi; Glomeromycota.
UUGGAGGGCAAGUCUGGUGCCAGCAGCCGCGGUAAUUCCAGCUCCAAUAGCGUAUAUUAAAGUUGUUGCAGUUAAAAAGCUCGUAGUUGAAUUUCGGGAUCAAAUUGUCGGUCGUGCCUCGGUACGCACUGGUAUUAUUGGUUCCUACCUUCUGAAGAACCGCGAUGUCAUUAAUUUGGUGUCGUGGGGAAUCAGGACUGUUACUUUGAAAAAAUUAGAGUGUUUAAAGCAGGCUUACGCUUGAAUACAUUAGCAUGGAAUAAUGAAAUAGGACGUUUGAUUCUAUUUUGUUGGUUUCUAGGAUUGACGUAAUGAUUAAUAGGGAUAGUUGGGGGCAUUAGUAUUCAAUUGUCAGAGGUGAAAUUCUUGGAUUUAUUGAAGACUAACUACUGCGAAAGCAUUUGCCAAGGAUGUUUUCAUUAAUCAAGAACGAAAGUUAGGGGAUCGAAGACGAUCAGAUACCGUCGUAGUCUUAACCAUAAACUAUGCCGACUAGGGAUCGGAUGAUGUUAAUUUAUUAAUGACUCAUUCGGCGCCUUACGGGAAAC